Long non-coding RNA from Oreochromis niloticus (Nile tilapia), 1432 nucleotides. RefSeq lists it as uncharacterized. NCBI's taxonomy places the organism in Eukaryota, Metazoa, Chordata, Actinopteri, Cichliformes, Cichlidae. The record is from RefSeq and is a predicted model, not a curated record. The transcript is spliced from 3 exons.
UCUGUUUGUUGCUAGUCUGUCUGCAUUUCUUCCGCUUGUUAUUCCCUGUGUUUCAGGCUGUACCUUGUUGUUUGUUUUCCUGUUCUGUGUUCUCCGUCUCAAGUUUUUGUUUUGUGUUCUGGGUUUCUAGUCCCAGGGUUUUUAUUCCUUUGAAUCUGUUUUAGUUUCUCACAGUUAAGGUUUUGCUUUAGUCUAGUCACUGCCCUGUUCUGGGGCAUUGGUUUCCAUGGGUUUGGAAGUGCUGAAAGAAAGAGGACAAGCUGGUGGUGGAGGAAUAGGUUUCCAGGGAGAAUGAACCAGCUCGGCUUUGGCAGAUGCGACGUUUCUCUAUCACUCUACUACAAGCAGCUCAGGAGUUUCUGGACGCUGAUCUCCACGACCAGGCAUCGCUUUGUUGCCGCACCCCUUAGGUUUGCAUCGUUCAUCAUCUCCACCUCCUUGCCCUCCUGCCACUGUCUCUUGUGGAUCACUGGAAAACGAGGUUGGAAUCAUCCCUCUCGCUCACCAGUCUAGGAGCUCACCUGGCCAGCCACCUCCCCCCAGAACUGUUUACGGUUCAUCCGCCAAUUUAGACCCGCUCUCCUCGUGCCAAGGAUCCCUCCUUUGUGUUGCCAUUAUUUCCUGUGUUCCAGUAAGAUAAACUCGUUGAAACCUUACCAUUACCUCUUGUGCUUGAAUCUCCUUUCGGUUCCAAGUUCUCGGACUAGCCUCUGGGUUCCCAUGACAAGUUUAAGAGGUGUUUACAAUAAAAGGGUUCAAGCUUUGUUGUCAUCUAGUGUUUUCUGAAAAAGUGUGUGUAUGCAUAUGUGUGUAUGUGUCUGUGCAUGUGUAUGCAGAAGGCAUAAAUCUGAAUGUUCUUGUUGUUUUAGACUUCCCAGAGGUGAGGUACUUCACACUCAGGCUGCCCAACAAUGUGACAUGUACACUAGUAUGGCUGGAGAUGUAUAUGCCUGUUUGUACUAUACAUAUCAGUCUAGAACUACAGACAAGCAUGAACACACAUACUGUAUAUAUAAUUUUUCAUUGUCUUCACUGGAACUGAGCCAAAGAAUAGCUCAAUAAACACUUUGAUCAGAUGAUGGAUGAAGCAGUACUUAAGCUGAGUUCUGUUCACAGUUGUAACUAUACAGGAAAUUGUCUCCUAAUACCGGUGAAUCACUAACAACACUGUAGCUAUACAAAGUGUGGCUUAUAAAACUUGGCAUACACCCAGCAAAGCACACUUCUACUAAUAAAUGCACUCCUCAUAGUAAAUCAUAAUAGUGUCCUGUGUGGGUGUGUGUGAAUGUGUAUGAAUUUGUCUUUGAUAUAAAUAAAGAAUCUAAUCCAACUGGCAACUUUAAUUUAAAUAGGAUGAAAACCGACUGUUAUUACAUUAACUGGAAUCAGCAUCAUCAACCACAUAAAUCACAUUAGUGUACCUUUUAUUGAA